UGCCUGAAACGGCACCAUCCAGGCCCAUCGGGCUGAGGGCUUAAUGGGCCGUGUCUGGCAUGGCCCAUUUAAACAAAAUCAAGCUUGGCAUGGCCCUAGGCUCAGGGGUGGCGGGCCGUGCCUAGCAUGGCUCAUUGGCCUAUUAGGCCCAUGGGACUGAUGGGUCUUUUUUUAUUUCUUUUAAAAAAAGAUCAUGAUGGGCCGUGCCUAACACAGUUUGUUUGGUUCGUUAUAGGCCAAAAAAAAAUAUUUCCUCAUCUUUUUUAUAUUUAUUCCCAG
This 279-nucleotide long non-coding RNA is filed under the name Elaeis guineensis (African oil palm). Its description in RNAcentral is "long non-coding RNA (EGUI_LNC030622)". Lineage: Eukaryota; Viridiplantae; Streptophyta; Magnoliopsida; Arecales; Arecaceae. The record is from RNAcentral.